GUAAAGAGGUUGGGUCUUAGUCUUAGACUAAAAUAGGAAAUUUUAUUGAAGCAAAUGCUUUGCAGGAACAUAUAUAGGGCUGAGUAACUUGGUACAAAGAAUGCAAAAAAAUUGAUUGCUUAUAUCAUAAUAGAACUAUUGUGCUUGGUAAGUAGGAUAAACCAUGAGGGCAAAGCCUUACUUGUACUAAUUGUUAACUAAAACAAAAUGAAGUCCAUUUGGAUAAACUAAUGAAUCAAAAGUAAACAUCAACCCCCACCCCACGAGCAUAAAUCCUAUUAUUAUUAUUACUUAUUAUAGUUUACAAUCAAUCAUAGUGGUCCUAGCAGAAAAGUAGUUGUCGUAUCUGAAAAUGAGACUGAAUAGAACUCUUCCCAGAUGGAAGAAAUUGAAUUGUAAUACCAGGGACCAUCUAUCCAAUAAUCUUAUAAAAUUGUGCAUUACAACAUAUGAAAGACAAAUUGUGUUGUAUAUUUUACUUUUAAACUUAGCAUAAAUACUUUAAAUUAAAUCUUAAUUUUGUUUUAUUUUCUUUUUUCACAGGUAUAAAAGGGGAGAAUUGGAUCAAAAUCGAUUGCAAGCUAUGUGUCACC
RNAcentral lists this long non-coding RNA (593 nucleotides) under Solanum tuberosum (potato). RNAcentral describes it as "long non-coding RNA (STUB_LNC009927)". Lineage: Eukaryota; Viridiplantae; Streptophyta; Magnoliopsida; Solanales; Solanaceae. The record is from RNAcentral.